Molecule: ribosomal RNA, 129 nt
Filed under: Microcebus murinus (gray mouse lemur)
Lineage: Eukaryota; Metazoa; Chordata; Mammalia; Primates; Cheirogaleidae
Source: RNAcentral
GUCUACGGCCAUACCACCCUGAAUGCACCUGAUCUCACCUGCUCUCAGAAACUAAGCAAAGUGGGGCCUGGCUAGUUCUUGGAUGGGAGAAACACUCUAGGCACAUAAGAAACCUGAUAGGGAUAAUCU